ACGCGCGGAACCUUACCAGGUCUUGACAUCCUUCGCUACUUCUAGAGAUAGAAGGUUCCCCUUCGGGGGACGAAGUGACAGGUGGUGCAUGGUUGUCGUCAGCUCGUGUCGUGAGAUGUUGGGUUAAGUCCCGCAACGAGCGCAACCCUUGAUCUUAGUUGCCAGCAUUUAGUUGGGCACUCUAAGGUGACUGCCGGUGACAAACCGGAGGAAGGUGGGGAUGACGUCAAAUCAUCAUGCCCCUUAUGACCUGGGCUACACACGUGCUACAAUGGACGGUACAAACGGUUGCCAACCCGCGAGGGGGAGCUAAUCCGAUAAAACCGUUCUCAGUUCGGAUUGUAGGCUGCAACUCGCCUACAUGAAGCCGGAAUCGCUAGUAAUCGCGGAUCAGCAUGCCGCGGUGAAUACGUUCCCGGGCCUUGCACACACUGCCCGU
This 439-nucleotide ribosomal RNA is filed under the name uncultured bacterium. RNAcentral describes it as "bacterial SSU rRNA". It matches the Rfam family "Bacterial small subunit ribosomal RNA", at positions 959 to 1397 of the family's 1533-position model. The record is from RNAcentral.